AUUGAACGCUGGCGGCAGGCCUAACACAUGCAAGUCGAGCGGCUGCAGGGAGCUUGCUCCUGGAUUCAGCGGCGGACGGGUGAGUAAUGCCUAGGAAUCUGCCUGGUAGUGGGGGAUAACGUCCGGAAACGGGCGCUAAUACCGCAUACGUCCUGAGGGAGAAAGUGGGGGAUCUUCGGACCUCACGCUCUCAGAUGAGCCUAGGUCGGAUUAGCUAGUUGGUGGGGUAAAGGCCUACCAAGGCGACGAUCCGUAACUGGUCUGAGAGGAUGAUCAGUCACACUGGAACUGAGACACGGUCCAGACUCCUACGGGAGGCAGCAGUGGGGAAUAUUGGACAAUGGGCGAAAGCCUGAUCCAGCCAUGCCGCGUGUGUGAAGAAGGUCUUCGGAUUGUAAAGCACUUUAAGUUGGGAGGAAGGGCAGUAAGUUAAUACCUUGCUGUUUUGACGUUACCAACAGAAUAAGCACCGGCUAACUUCGUG
This 484-nucleotide ribosomal RNA is filed under the name uncultured bacterium. RNAcentral's name for it is "partial 16S ribosomal RNA". It matches the Rfam family "Bacterial small subunit ribosomal RNA", at positions 30 to 507 of the family's 1533-position model. The record is from RNAcentral.